UACGAAGGGGGCUAGCGUUGCUCGGAAUCACUGGGCGUAAAGCGCACGUAGGCGGCUUCUCAAGUCAGGGGUGAAAUCCUGGAGCUCAACUCCAGAACUGCCUUUGAUACUGAGGGGCUCGAGUCCGGGAGAGGUGAGUGGAACUGCGAGUGUAGAGGUGAAAUUCGUAGAUAUUCGCAAGAACACCAGUGGCGAAGGCGGCUCACUGGCCCGAUACUGACGCUGAGGCACGAAAGCGUGGGGAGCAAACAGG
RNAcentral lists this ribosomal RNA (253 nucleotides) under uncultured bacterium. RNAcentral's name for it is "partial 16S ribosomal RNA". It matches the Rfam family "Bacterial small subunit ribosomal RNA", at positions 524 to 776 of the family's 1533-position model. The record is from RNAcentral.